Molecule: ribosomal RNA, 273 nt
Filed under: Triticum aestivum (bread wheat)
Lineage: Eukaryota; Viridiplantae; Streptophyta; Magnoliopsida; Poales; Poaceae
Description: partial small subunit ribosomal RNA
Source: RNAcentral
CUCGUUCAGUCGGUGAUUUGCGCAAUCCUCACUCACUCUAUGCUGGCACUAGGCUUACCGCCAAAGACAAUUGCCACGAUGAAUAAAGUCUGUCGUGGAUUUUGGUGGGCUGGCAAGGCAGAAGUGGGCGGAGGCGCGUGCGCUGUAGCCUGGAGUCGGGUGUGCACGCCCAAGUGGUCGGGCGGUCUUGCCACACCAGACUUGGCCUGGACAAAUAUGGCUUUGCAGGCCAAAUGGCUAUGGCUGCAGAGGGUGGAUCGGGACAGACCAUGG